AAUCAACGCUGGCGGCGUGCCUAACACAUGCAAGUCGAGCGAGAAAGGGGCUUCGGCCCUGAGUAAAGCGGCGCACGGGUGAGUAACACGUGGGUAAUCUGCCCUAGAGUGGGGAAUAACACCGGGAACCGGUGCUAAUACCGCAUACGAUCACGAUGUUUUCGUAAUGUUGUGAUAGAAAGGAGCAAUUCGCUCUUGGAGGAGCCCGCGGCUGAUUAGCUAGUUGGGAGGUAAUGGCUCACCAAGGCUACGAUCAGUAUCCGGUCGUGAGAGGACGGUCGGACACACUGGAACUGAGACACGGUCCA
Molecule: ribosomal RNA, 308 nt
Filed under: uncultured bacterium
Lineage: Bacteria
Description: bacterial SSU rRNA
Rfam family: Bacterial small subunit ribosomal RNA
Source: RNAcentral